GCCUACGGCCAUACCACCCUGAAUGUGCCUGAUCUCGUCUGAUCUCGGAAGCUAAGCAGGGGUUGGGCCUGGUUAGUACUUGGGAGAAAGUUAUUCAGUUAGGAUCCCAAAAGCCAAAUUCU
This is a ribosomal RNA of Cavia aperea (Brazilian guinea pig), 122 nucleotides long. NCBI's taxonomy places the organism in Eukaryota, Metazoa, Chordata, Mammalia, Rodentia, Caviidae. The record is from Ensembl.